GGUAGCGUAGCCGAGCGGUCUAAGGCGCUGGUUUAAGGCACCAGUCAUUUCGAUGGCGUCGGUUCAAAUCCCACCGCUGCCA
RNAcentral lists this transfer RNA (82 nucleotides) under Lytechinus variegatus (green sea urchin). Its description in RNAcentral is "tRNA-Leu". It matches the Rfam family "tRNA". From Rfam's summary of the family: Transfer RNA (tRNA) molecules are approximately 80 nucleotides in length. Their secondary structure includes four short double-helical elements and three loops (D, anti-codon, and T loops). Lineage: Eukaryota; Metazoa; Echinodermata; Echinoidea; Temnopleuroida; Toxopneustidae. The record is from RNAcentral.